RNAcentral lists this ribosomal RNA (122 nucleotides) under Methanomicrobiales archaeon. Lineage: Archaea; Methanobacteriati; Methanobacteriota; Methanomicrobia; Methanomicrobiales. The record is from RNAcentral.
GAUAGCGGCCAUAGCGACGGGGAAACACCUGGACCCAUUCCGAACCCAGCAGUUAAGCCCGUCCACGUAGUGUGCUGUACUGAGGUACGCGAGUCCCUGGGAACCACACCUCGCUGCUAUCA